Molecule: long non-coding RNA, 300 nt
Filed under: Ananas comosus (pineapple)
Lineage: Eukaryota; Viridiplantae; Streptophyta; Magnoliopsida; Poales; Bromeliaceae
Description: long non-coding RNA (ACOM_LNC035184)
Source: RNAcentral
UUAACUUUACACGUUCUUUAUUGCUCUCUUUGCUUUAGCUUUAGUCAUCGUCAUCAUUCUUUACAUCACUUUGAUUCUUUGCUUCACACUAACUCUAGUGUCACUUUACUUUACAUUAUUAGAUGCCACUCGAUCUAUGUCAUAGUGUCACUCUGUUCUUUUGCCUCACUUGGGUACUCACAUUUUCUCUCAUGCAUACAUCUAGGGUUCUAACAUUCAUAGGGUCCUCGACCAUCACAUUAAGCAAGUUGUACUCACAAUCAUGCAAUAUCACAUUUUUAUCAUCACUUACCCUAAAAU